Molecule: ribosomal RNA, 374 nt
Filed under: uncultured organism
Description: partial 16S ribosomal RNA
Rfam family: Bacterial small subunit ribosomal RNA
Source: RNAcentral
GUAGGUGGCAAGCGUUGUCCGGAAUUAUUGGGCGUAAAGCGCGCGCAGGUGGUUCUUUAAGUCUGAUGUGAAAGCCCCCGGCUCAGCCGGGGAGGGUCAUUGGAAACUGGGGAACUUGAGUGCAGGAGAGGAAAGUGGAAUUCCACGUGUAGCGGUGAAAUGCGUAGAUAUGUGGAGGAACACCAGUGGCGAAGGCGACUUUCUGGCCUGUAACUGACACUGAGGCGCGAAAGCGUGGGGAGCAAACAGGGAUUAGAUACCCUGGUAGUCCACGCCGUAAACGAUGAGUGCUAAGUGUUGGGGGGGGUUUCCGCCCCCUCAGUGCUGCAGCUAACGCAUUAAGCACUCCGCCUGGGAGUACGGUCGCAAGACUG